Argentina anserina (silverweed cinquefoil) is the source of this 969-nucleotide RNA transcript. It is a transcript of the gene named probable glutathione S-transferase, with no coding region annotated. The record is from RefSeq and is a predicted model, not a curated record. The transcript has 3 exons. Lineage: Eukaryota; Viridiplantae; Streptophyta; Magnoliopsida; Rosales; Rosaceae.
GAGUGCUCUCACAGCUCCUCCAACAAUAAUGGCAGAAGUCAAGCUCUUUAGGACAUGGUCAAGCCCCUUUUCUUUGAGAAUAGUUUGGGCACUGAAGCUCAAAGAUGUUCAGUAUGAUACCAUUUUUGAGGAUCUCUCAAACAAAAGCCCUUUGCUCCUUCAAUACAACCCUGUUCAUAAGAAAAUUCCAGUGCUUGUACACAAUGGAAAAGCAGUUGCUGAAUCAUUUGUAAUUCUUGAAUACAUUGAAGAAACAUGGAAACAUAACCCUUUCCUGUCUGAAGAUCCUCAUGAAAGAGCUGCUGCUCGCUUUUGGGCCAAAUUUGGUGAUGAGAAGGUUUUGCCAUCAAUUUGGGACGCUUUUAUAAGUCAAGGAAAAGAGCAAGAAGAAGGGAUUGUGAAGGCCAAGGAUAACUUGAAGUAUUUGGAAGAGGAGCUAAAGGGGAAGACAUUCUUUGGGGGAGACCAUAUUGGAUUUGCAGAUAUUGCACUUGGGUGGCUAACUGAAUAUUUGGAUGUGUUUGAAGAGGUAACUAGCAUGAAACUGAUAGCAGAAGAUGAGCUCCCAUUGUUAUCAAAAUGGAAAAAGAUUUUUGCAGAUGCUCCUAUGAUCAAAGAGAAUUGGCCUCCCAGAGAUAAACUUGUCACCAAAUUUCAGGCUCUCCGUGAGGCCAGCCUCUUGAAAAAGGUACCUAAAUGAAGUUGUUUGUGGCACCAGAGAGGGAUUAGAGCAUAAAUAAUAAGGGGUUCUAGCUAGGAGUCAAGGUAACUAAUGCAAGGCCGGCUUUGUAUUGUAUGACAAUAACACUGUAAUCCAUAAGGGGGAAUUUUGUGUCAAAUGGAUUUCAAACUCUAGUAUGAGAAGUCUGUUGUGUGGUUUAGUAUUGUUGCUCUUCACUCUUCUACACACGUUUCUUGCGCCAAUCAAAAAUCCUAGAGGUUUAAAACUACAGCCACAAAUUCAGAGUA